ACAGAUAGUUUUACGAACUACUAACCUAUCGAUCGUCGCAUGCAACGAUUGAUAGAAAAAAAAAUUACCACGCAUAUAUAAAGAGACAGUUUAAGCAAACACACCAUUUUAGAUUAUGAUUCUGUUGCUGCCAACAUUUGAGGCUCUCUCCGCCUAGACAAUGGGUGGAAGAGCGCAAAUGUUUCAAGCAGCAAAACAGAUUUAAGCAUAUUUGUGAUAGCUAAUAGAAAACACACAUCCAAACAAACCAAAAAAUUGCACCACUGAAAAUCCCACCCAAUACUAACCGAGAUUUGGAAAUAAUUUCUCCCAUCCAAUAGCCAGAAAGGCUAAGAAUCACAAAAUAGAAAGAAUUCACUUGUAAAAUAAAAAAAUAAAAAAAAAUUAGGACUUCUGUAACAUGUUCUUCUUAUUUGGUAAUGCAUAUAUUAACGCAUGUAGUUAUAGGUAUAAUUAAUAUAUGUAUGUAUGUAGAACUCAAGAAAACAGAAUAUUAUAAUAAUAAUGUUAAAAUCGUACACACAUAUUGCACGUUUAAUAAUAUACAGAAUUAUUUUGAAAUUUCAAUUUUUUGGUAUACUAAAAGAUAGAUGGAAAGACACAUAUCUUCGUCAUAUUUGGGAAGUUUCGUCAUCUGUUAGGCUGCGCAUAUUCAGCUUAUUAAUUGUAUGAUGAAAUCUCCAAAUACGUAAAUUUUGAAUUACAUAUCUAUAUUAUUAAACGUGCAAUAUGUAAGUAUGUAUUUUAUUCGAUAGAUAGCAAGUAAAAUGCGCAAAAGCUAAGCAAGUGCAGCUGUGAUAGGUUUAAGUCAACUUCUAUCCUACUAUAAAUCGAAUUAAAAUAUUAAACAGCAUCUCACCCGCAUCAAAAAGUCAGCGUCGUUCGAGUACUGAGUUAAAAAAGUUUAUUAAAAACUUUAAGCAAUUAAUUCAAAACUUACUUGGUGUAAGCCUCGCUCUUAUGUGCUAAAACAAAAAGGGAAUGUUGGAAUUCCUCCGUAUGUGUAGUACACUUCUAUUCGAUGAAGUUUUGUUGAAUAUUAAAAAAAAAAAGGCUCGUUCACUUUACUCAGCUGCAGUAAUUUUUUUAGCGAGGCUUCUUUGGCAAUGAAGAAGUCAACAAACACAUUUAAUAAGUAUACAUAAAUAAGUGGAAACAUUUUUCAUCAUCGUACAUCUCUUCAAUGAUGUUAUGAUGUGCUUUAAAAAUUUCACCAUAUGUACGUAUGUGUGUACAUCUCGCCUUCAAAGUAAGACCUCUAUUGAGGUACUCUGUGGCGCCGAAUGAGCUAUAUGGCUUGAAUUCUUUUUAACAGUUUUCUUUGGGGAUAUUUGAAAGAAAGAGUGUACGUUAACAAACCAAGAACCAUUCUCCAACUCGAAACCAACAUUCGAAAUGAAAUCAUGGCCAUUACACCCGAAAG
Molecule: long non-coding RNA, 1423 nt
Organism: Rhagoletis zephyria (snowberry fruit fly)
Lineage: Eukaryota; Metazoa; Arthropoda; Insecta; Diptera; Tephritidae
Source: RefSeq, a predicted model, not a curated record